CUGGCUGUGCCUGGGCUCCGCACGGCUGCUCCUCUCCCCGGUGUCUGUCAGAGCCACUCUGUGGCAGCUGAUGCAGCUUCUGAAACCUCUGAGGCACUGGGGAGGACGGUUCUGUGUGGCGGGGAGCUCUGGGGCCGUCAUCAGAGAGAUGUCAGGGAUGAGGGCACCCACAGCAAGCAGCUCCUCUGGGGGCCGAGCUGAGGCAGGACUUGCCUGAGCCCAAACAGGCACUGCUGGUGAUGACCUGUGAAGUGUUCACAGCACGUCUGGCACAGAGCAAAGCCAUCCAAGAAGCACCCGGCUGUGGCAUGGAGGAUUAAGCCCUGCUACCAGCCCCAGCAUCCCGCUGCCUUUGGUGGGAGGAGAGCAGAGCAUGGAGUCCUUCACUGGGCUGGAGAGAUCUGCCAGCUGUGUGCAGCAGAGAGAAACUGGAUCCCUCAAGUUCGGAUGAAAGCGUGAGGAGAAGGUUUAUACAGUUAGCCACACUUUGAGGCCACUUAAUCUCUCUUCCACUGAGGAAAAGAGAUAUUUCAAAUACAGACAGUAAAAAAGGACUCCAAAAGUAUAAAUAAAUGUUAUACUGCUCAGGACACUCUUUGUGGAAGAGCUGAGAUAGUGACAGGACAAGAGGGAAUGGCUUUAAGCUGCGUCAAGGGAAGCUGACAUUUGGUCUUGGUGAUCUUAGUGGUCUUUCCAACCCUACUGAUUCUAUGAUUCUGUUCUAUGAUUCUCAACCAUGGUUCUGCUGAAUGUCCCACAGACAGACCCACCGCACUGGAAUGCUGGUCUGCCUCCUGAGGUUUAUUUAGCAGCAGUGCAAUGCCCCAUCCUGGCCCGAAGGGAGAGGAACAGGAGCACAGCAUCAAGAGAGAGGUGUGUGCUGCACCUGGAGCCUUCAUCGCAUUUGCACAGACACUUCUGCACCGAGACUGGGCUGUUGCAUUAGAGUUUGCUUAGGUCAAAGGGAAAUUAGGAUUAUUCCUCAAAUAACAAAUGUUUAAG
Molecule: long non-coding RNA, 1002 nt
Organism: Gallus gallus (chicken)
Lineage: Eukaryota; Metazoa; Chordata; Aves; Galliformes; Phasianidae
Source: Ensembl